Molecule: RNA transcript, 1857 nt
Organism: Brassica rapa (field mustard)
Lineage: Eukaryota; Viridiplantae; Streptophyta; Magnoliopsida; Brassicales; Brassicaceae
Source: RefSeq, a predicted model, not a curated record
GUUGAGAAUAAAUACACAGCAGAGAAACUUUGAACCCAAAAAAAAAAAACGAAACUUUGAAGUUGCUCCAAAGGAAAGGAAAGCUCACCAGAAGAAAUUGCAAAGAGAGGAGAAAAAAAGAAUCUUAUGGAGUUCCCUCCGCCCCCGGAGAGAUCAAAGCGCCUCCACAACUUCACCUUACCUUAUCUCCGAUGGGGUCACCAGAGAUUCCUCAAGUGCGUCAAGCUCCCCUCUUCUUCUUCUCCCGAUCACAGAUCUCCCGCUGUUGACGGGAAGCUAAGGCUCGAUCCACCAAAGGUCUCGACUUUGGGGAACGGAGGAGGAGGCGAUGCAGCAGCAGCUCGGCCGUGGAAUCUGAGGACGAGGAGAGCUGCUUGCAACGAGCCGGGAGACGAGGAGGCCACGAGGAUCACUGGCGUCGUCGUCAAGAGAGGAGGUAGUCACGAAGGAGAUUCAUCGCCGCAGAAGAAAUUGAAAUUCUCUGUUGCUUUGUUGAGAGAAGAGAUCGAAGAUGAUUUCACUGCCUUCGUUGGCAAAAAGCCUCCUCGUAGGCCCAAGAAGAGACCAAGAACUGUUCAGAAGCAAAUGAAUACUCUUUUUCCCGGAUUGUGGUUAGCUGAAGAAGUAACAGCAGGCUCUUACGACGUCCCUGAGGCUGCUGCUGAAACAUGAUCAAAGAAUUUGAUUGUGGUUCAUAGAGAAAUCCUGAUGGUGAUAUCGUCGCCUCAAGGCUGGAAACUGGAGGUGUAACUUUAGGUGUUUGCUACAAGAUGAAAACAGGAGGAACGCAAACUCGCGGGUCCUUUUCAGGAUGAUGAUGGAGAUUAUUUGAUCAGGAAUGACUGAGCUGUGUAUCAAAUCUAAAUCAUGACAAAAAUGUACAAUUAUGACUGAGCUGUGUAUCACAUGAUCUAAAGCUUUAAUAAUAAUAAGGAAUGAUCGAUCUAAGAAAAGCAAUGAGGCAGAGUUUAGAUACGGAAUCAACAUACACGAUGAGUUUAAUGUAACAGGAACAUACACACUCCGUUGUAUUUCUCUUGGUUUAUAAAACUAUUUUUGAGUCUUGUCUUUUGUGAAACAGUUUUUGCCAUUUAUAGAAGAAAUCUAUAAAACAUACAACCUUAUCCUCUUACCCAACUUAAUAUUCUCUCUCUCUCUAUCAAAAUCAUUGAACCUCAAAUUCUUCAAGGUGUCCUUUGAAGUCAUUUUCUAUACUGAUUUUCACCUCGUCGUCUUCGAUCCUCGGUGGAUUCUAGAAAAGGUUUUAUCUUUUCCUGUUUCAUUUGAUCGGGAUAAAGUUUACGACAACUAAUCGUGAAAAGACACCUGUAGAGGGAUAAGAUUACUUCAUAUACGAUAAAAGUCAUUUGAUUCAAUCCGAACCGUUUAAAUAUGCUGACGUGUAUCUGCUGACGUGGAUAAAAACCACGUUUUGCAAUCACGUGAUUCGCGUGACCGUGUCUUAACGAGCGACCACCACCACCAAGGCGGAGAACAAUUCGGGAAGGCCUUAUUCUUACCGUCGCUCUCUCUCUCUUGUUUGCGUGUUGUCUUUUUGGAUAAACCCUAGAUCAAGUCAGAAUCUGAGAGAGCCCUCCCCCCAUUGGAAUACAGUUUCUCUCGAGGUAUCAAGAUUUUUUUUUAAAAAAGCCCUAAAAUUGAUCGUAUCAUUCGAGAACGAAGCGUCUGGAUUGUGAGAGGGAAACACUCUUUAUCUUUUCGAAAGCCUUAAAGAUCUGAGACAGAACAAGGUCGGUGGCUAAGGUAAGGCCAAGUUCUAUGCCAAUGUCGAGCAAAACCAUGAACAUGCUGGAAGGUUUGGUUAAAGACUCUUCUUUCAAAUGGCUGCUCGGUAAA